RNAcentral lists this transfer RNA (72 nucleotides) under Eretmochelys imbricata (hawksbill sea turtle). RNAcentral describes it as "tRNA-Pro". The record is from RNAcentral. Lineage: Eukaryota; Metazoa; Chordata; Testudines; Cheloniidae.
UCAAAAGAGAAGGACUUAAACCUUCUUCCCCGGGCCCCAAAACCGGAAUCCUGUCAAUUAAACUAUCCUUUG